RNAcentral lists this ribosomal RNA (1338 nucleotides) under metagenome. Its description in RNAcentral is "bacterial LSU rRNA". It matches the Rfam family "Bacterial large subunit ribosomal RNA", at positions 1564 to 2910 of the family's 2925-position model. The record is from RNAcentral.
UGAGUGCGAGCUGCUACGGCAGCGAAGUUGGUGACGUCAAGCUUCCAAGAAAAGCCCUAUACCCGUUAAGGCAUCAUGGCCUGUACCCGAAACCGACACAGGUGGGGUGGUAGAGAAUAUCGAGGGGCGCGAGGUAACUCUCUCUAAGGAACUCGGCAAAAUGGCCCCGUAACUUCGGGAGAAGGGGUGCCACCGCAAGGUGGUCGCAGUGAAGAGGCCCAGGCGACUGUUUACCAAGAACACAGGUCUCCGCUAAGUCGCAAGACGAUGUAUGGGGGCUGACGCCUGCCCAGUGCCGGAAGGUUAAGGAAGCUGGUCAGCGCAAGCGAAGCUGGCGACUGAAGCCCCGGUGAACGGCGGCCGUAACGAUAACGGUCCUAAGGUAGCGAAAUUCCUUGUCGGGUAAGUUCCGACCCGCACGAAAGGCGUAACGAUCUGGGCGCUGUCUCGGAGAGAGGCUCGGCGUAAUAGAAUUGUCUGUGAAGAUGCGGACUACGUGCACCCGGACAGAAAGACCCUAUGAAGCUUUACUGUAGCUUGGUAUUGUGCCCGGGCUCUGAAUGCGCAGGAUAGGUAGGAGGCCUUGAUCAUCGGCUUGCGGGUCGAUGUGAGCCAACGGUGAGAUACCACUCUUUCAGAGCUAGGGUUCUAACAGUCACCCGUUAUCCGGGGACUGGACAGUAUCAGGUGGGCAGUUUGACUGGGGCGGUCGCCUCCUAAAAGGUAACGGAGGCGCGCAAAGGUCUGCUCAGGCUGGUUGGAAAUCAGCCGACGAGUGUAAAAGCAGAAGCAGGCUUGACUGUGAGACCUACAAGUCGAACAGGGAGGAAACUCGGCUUUAGUGAUCCGACGGUUCUGCGUGGAAGGGCCGUCGCUCAACGGAUAAAAGUUACUCUAAGGAUAACAGGCUGAUCUCCCCCAAGAGUUCACAUCGACGGGGAGGUUUGGCACCUCGAUGUCGGCUCAUCGCAACCUGGGGCUGAAGUCGGUCCCAAGGGUUGGGCUGUUCGCCCAUUAAAGCGGUACGCGAGCUGGGUUCAGAACGUCGUGAGACAGUUCGGUCCAUAUCCGGUGCAUGCGCAGGAAUAUUGAGAGGAGUUCUCCCUAGUACGAGAGGACCGGGAGGAACGCACCUCUGGUGUACCAGUUAUCGUGCCAACGGUAAACGCUGGGUAGCCAUGUGCGGAGAGGAUAACCGCUGAAAGCAUCUAAGUGGGAAGCCCACCUCAAGAUGAGUAUUCCCAUGGCGUUAGCCAGUAAGGUCACGGGAAGAACACCCGUUGAUAGGCUCUAUGUGGAAGCGCAGUAAUGCGUGAAGCAGAGGAGUACUAAUAGACC